AUUAGGAUCGUUCCUCCUUAUAAUUCGUAGUGAGUUCGCUUAUCAGUAAUCAUUUAGUAUCCCCGAUUAGCCGUUUCGUUGAUGGAGUUAGCCCUGCGAUGGAGUGGACCCCGUUUUAAGAGUUGGUGUAGAGCAACGUUUCAUAAGCGCGCUCGUUAUAACGUGCAGUAGCAUACCGACGCUGAUUUUUGCGCAACGAGGGUCUAACAAACAAAAAAAUAAAAAAAUCAAGAAACGAGGUCCGGAGUUUAUUUUAUUUAGUUAUUACUAAUGAUAUUUCCUGGUGCUCGUUUGGGUAGUAAAAGAAAACACCAAAUUUAAGAGUUCUCAAUAGGGGUGUACGCAUUACCUUUAAGAUUGUGUUGAAGCAAACUCAUAUAUAUAUUAAAAAUAGUUCUACUCCUAACCCAUAUUAUAUAUUUUGAGUCCAUUGCGCGAACGGAGAUGACAUGCGCAGGCCCAGAUUUCUAGACGCUGACUGAGCCGUUCGUAGGUAACGAUGGCAUUGCGUCGAAAAACGUUUCUCAGAGGUUCAAUCUGAAGGUCUUUAUGUUAGGCAUCGUUGCGAACAAACCACGGAGCUCCCGUCUUAAGGUGUAGCAACUUGUUUUGUCUUACUUGAAGCGAAGAGACUAUUGCCGUAGACCCAAGCAGUUACGCGUACGUCAUAAUCGGUCGGAUGCACAACAAAUACAAGCGUCGUUUGUUGUGCAAGAGUUUGCUUCGAACCCAAAGUAAAAGGUACUCCGCCUGAGGACACCAAGGAAUUACCUUAUUUUCAAAGUAAUUUUCUAACGAGGACGCAAGUUGGAAAACGUCGAUAGGUAGUACCGCAUAUGCUGGAGCAGUAUGGCGGGUGACUGACGAGGAGUAAUUCUCUGUGUCAUCCGCAUAUAAGUGAAGCUGCAUGUGAAAGUUGUCUGGCACUGGCAAUGGAGGUUUGAAGUUUAUGAAGCAUUACAUCCCUAUACAUAUGAAAUUUA
This is a long non-coding RNA of Zophobas morio, 983 nucleotides long. RefSeq lists it as uncharacterized. The transcript is spliced from 3 exons. NCBI's taxonomy places the organism in Eukaryota, Metazoa, Arthropoda, Insecta, Coleoptera, Tenebrionidae. The record is from RefSeq and is a predicted model, not a curated record.